Molecule: transfer RNA, 75 nt
Filed under: Erysipelotrichaceae bacterium
Lineage: Bacteria; Bacillati; Bacillota; Erysipelotrichia; Erysipelotrichales; Erysipelotrichaceae
Description: tRNA-Thr
Rfam family: tRNA
About the family: Transfer RNA (tRNA) molecules are approximately 80 nucleotides in length. Their secondary structure includes four short double-helical elements and three loops (D, anti-codon, and T loops).
Source: RNAcentral
GCCGACAUAAUAUAACGGUUAUUAUAGGCCCUUGGUAAGGGUCAGAUCCAAGUUCAACUCUCGGUGUCGGCACCA